GCCCACAAAGAAGAGCUUAAGAACAGAAGAGAUUCCAGGUCCUUCCAGGCCAAUAAUUUCUUCCUACCAUUAGAAAAGGACACCGGGCUUGAAACCUGCCUGUUCCUGUGUUCUGUUCCCCAGCAUCCUUCACUGACGUAUUAUGGAUGUUUAAAGGUAAAUCUCUUAUCCUUUUAAUAUCUUCAUAAAUAUAUGGUAUGAAGAUAGGUAAUAUUUUUUGAGUGUUUUAGACAUAAGUUUUUUUUUAAUCUUCCCACUUUUUCUUGAACUUGCUCAUAGUGUCAGUCUCCAUAACUUUGUAGUGCAUCUUUUCACAACACAUCUCAGAUGUUCAUUCCGCUGUGUGCCAAAAAGUGCUUUUCUCUCUCUUGUUUCCAAAAAUAACUGUUUCUUCCUUUCUAGCUCCAAGUAUUGGUAUCGAUCUGAUUGCACAGUGAAGGAAAAAUCUUAGUGUAUUCCCUUUCCUUUUCUCUCUGUUCCUCCCUUUGCUGUUCCCUGGCUACCUUUGGUAGCUUUGAGCAUUGUACGUUAGCUCUGCUGUUUUCAACAGAAGUACAGUGUGGUAAGAAGGGGAAUAAAAAGGGUGAGAAAAAAUAUUUCCACUUUCUUCUCUAUCAGUAAUAUUUUUUCCUUCUAUUUCUAUAACAAUUUAUUCUUCUAUAUCAGUAAUAUAGGGGUUUUCAUUCUAUGCUAGAAUGGAAAUCAGAGCGUGAAGUCCUUAUCUGUCUGAGACACUGUUGACAAGGCAAUCUGUACUGAGAUAAGGAACAUAUUUUUUCACUCAUCAUUGUGACACUGACGCAUAAAUUUAAUACUUAAGCUUUUUUUUUUUUUUUUCUGACUGCUAUUGCUGGAUCAGUUGUAUGAGAUGGAUGGUACUGUUUGAUAUAGCUACAGAUAUAGAGUGCACUGCCAACUUCCUUAUCCAUCUUUUCUAAAAUGAAAAGAAUGAGGUGUGAUAUGGGACUUAGUGGUUCUGCUUCCCCUUCCAGCUCGUUCUCUGAUCUCUUUGCAGGCGCUGCCGCAAGGAAGUCAGACAGUAGAAACGAAAGCGAUCCAGUGCUUCGCCACUGUAACCUUCCUACCCACACCUGCCACUGCAACUCCUUUUCCUUUUUAAGAGAUCUUAACGGAAUCAGAGAUCCAGCGCACAUCCUGCAAGAGCAGGUAUGA
RNAcentral lists this long non-coding RNA (1173 nucleotides) under Coturnix japonica (Japanese quail). Its description in RNAcentral is "lncRNA (ENSCJPG00005015402.1)". The record is from RNAcentral. Lineage: Eukaryota; Metazoa; Chordata; Aves; Galliformes; Phasianidae.